UAUAAAGGAUUUUGAGUUUUUGCUUGCAACGUUUGACCACUCGUCUUAUUCAAAUUUUUUUGAAAUUAUUAUUUAUUUUAUUUGUGACUUCCUUUAUUACUUUAAGCACAACUUUUUGUUUUUUAUAUUUAAAAAAAAUUGAAUAAGACGAGUGGUCAAACGUUGCAAUCAAAAACUCAAAAUCACUUAUA
RNAcentral lists this microRNA precursor (191 nucleotides) under Oryza barthii. RNAcentral describes it as "MIR812 microRNA precursor family". It matches the Rfam family "MIR812 microRNA precursor family". Lineage: Eukaryota; Viridiplantae; Streptophyta; Magnoliopsida; Poales; Poaceae. The record is from Rfam by way of RNAcentral.